GGGGAAGUAACUCAGUUGGUUAGAGUGCUAGCCUGUCACGCUAGACGUCGCGAGUUCGAAUCUCGUCUUUCCCG
Molecule: transfer RNA, 74 nt
Filed under: Telonemida sp.
Lineage: Eukaryota; Telonemia; Telonemida
Description: tRNA-Asp
Rfam family: tRNA
About the family: Transfer RNA (tRNA) molecules are approximately 80 nucleotides in length. Their secondary structure includes four short double-helical elements and three loops (D, anti-codon, and T loops).
Source: RNAcentral